This is a long non-coding RNA of Herpailurus yagouaroundi (jaguarundi), 613 nucleotides long. RefSeq lists it as uncharacterized. NCBI's taxonomy places the organism in Eukaryota, Metazoa, Chordata, Mammalia, Carnivora, Felidae. The transcript has 2 exons. The record is from RefSeq and is a predicted model, not a curated record.
UUUCCCACCCAAGAGUCCACUCUCCAUGAUAAAAACUGAAGCUUCUCAAGGAGAAGUUCCAAAAGACUUGGCAGUCUACAUCAAAGCCCUAACUCCCAUCACUGCAAGAAAUGCAGAUGCUGUUGGUGGUGGUGGUGGUGGUGUUUUGUUUAGUCAUUUUUUAUAUUUAUCCACGGAACCUAAGAGAACUUACUUCUUAAAAAGUGAACCUACUCACCAGAUCAAACAUCCAAACAAAUACAAAAAUCAACCUCUAAUUGAGGCAUUUGAACUUAAACGAUCCUUUCUGUCAAGUUCGGGUGUCAGCAUGUGCCUGUACGAUCUCUUUGGACAUUGUACCUUUCCUUCAUGGGAAAAACACAUCUAUCUUGAGAACCAGCAGUGAAUACUCGAAUGUUUUCCUUUCCCCGAUUGAAACUUGCUAGAGGGAUGGAUCGGUGAUAGGGCAUCCUGGAAAGGCACAAGCUUUAGGAGUCAAAAAACAGUCAGUACAGAUUGUACCUCCAUCAUUUCCUGGCUAUGCAGUCUUGGGGGCAAUAAUUAUAAUAGGCAACACAGCGGGUGCUACUCUUUACCUGGUGCUAUAUUGAAUAAAACGAUGGAUGAAACUUAA